This is a non-coding RNA of Maylandia zebra (zebra mbuna), 249 nucleotides long. The record is from RefSeq and is a predicted model, not a curated record. Lineage: Eukaryota; Metazoa; Chordata; Actinopteri; Cichliformes; Cichlidae.
GAUGUUAGAAGAUCCCAAAUAUGGAAAUAGUCAGGACCCAGAUGAACCUGUGCUGGAAUUCAGUGUGGGGUGGUGGGUCUCAGAGGACAAUUGCUACCCCUGUUGAAGUGAACAACGUGUGGAGUGCAACUGGCUUUGUGGCAUAGCUGGCUCUGGCCUUGGACUGUGUGUUUUUACUUUGUACCUAAAUGGGACACUGGACUUCUAACUACUAUUCAUUGUGUUUAUAAAUAAAAUUUUAGAAUUUUA